AUGCCCAGCCGUAAACAACUUACACGCCAGGGAAUUACGAGCUUAGCUUAAAACCCAAAAGACUUGACGGUGUCCCACCCCACUAGAGGAGCCUGUCCUAAAAUCGACAAUACCCGCUUAACCUUACCACUUCUUGCUUUAUCAGCCAGUAUACUUCCGUCGCAAGCUUACCACAUGAGUGCACGUAGUGGGCUCAAUGAUCACUAGUAAAUACGUCAGGUCAAGGUGCAGCAUAAGAAGUGGGCUGAGAUGGGCUACAAUUUCUAGCUUAGAACACACGAAGUGCUGAAUGAAACACAGCAUGAAGGUGGAUUUAGUAGUAAAAAGAAAAUAGAGCGUUCUUUUUAACAGCGGCACUGAGACACGUACAAACCGCCCGUCACCCUCCUCAACGGAUACACUUCUGUAAAUAACAACAACCCCACCAACAGAGGAGGCAAGUCGUAACAUGGUGAGUGUACCGGAAGGUGCACUUGGAUCG
Molecule: ribosomal RNA, 481 nt
Filed under: Occidozyga laevis
Lineage: Eukaryota; Metazoa; Chordata; Amphibia; Anura; Dicroglossidae
Description: partial 12S small subunit ribosomal RNA
Rfam family: Bacterial small subunit ribosomal RNA
Source: RNAcentral